AAGCCAAUUCCAGUCCCUGGAGCUGCAAACUGCCCUCAGGGCAAAGAAGCCUGCAGAAUAAUUGGGAGGAGUCUGGCAGGAAGGAAGCCAAGUUUCCUGAGGCCCUCACCAGAAGCUCAUCAGAAGCAGAUGCUGGCACCACUCUUCUUAUGCUGUCUGCGUAACUAAUCAGUAUUUCAAGCAUCCAAAAUGUGUAGGAGAAUAUGGACCCAAGAACGGAGCAGAGAGACAAAUAGAGGAACGGAAAGUUUUGCCUACAACCAUGAUGUUCUCAAUGUUAGCUGACUGUGUUCUAAAAUCCACUCCAAUUCCCAUUUUGGGAGUUGCUAUGUGAUGAAGGUCUGCCCCUGUGGUGUUGGGACAACUUGCUCAUGGAGUUGCAGUUCUUGCCUAACAGGAACCCACCAUGGCUGUACAAGAAGCAUGGCACCAGCAUCUGCUUCUGGUGAGGCCGCAGGAAGCUUCCACUCAUGGUGGAAGGUGGAGGAGGAGCAGGCGUGUUAUAUGGCAAGAGCGAGAGCAAGAGAGAGAGCAGAAGGUGUCAGGCAACCAGCUCUCAUGUGAACUAAUGAGCAAGGACUCACUCAUCACCAAGGGGAUGGCCCCAGCCAUUCCUGAGAGAUCCGCCCCCUAACCCAAACACCUCCCACCAAGCCCCACCUCCAAGACUGGCGGUCAAAUUUUAACAUGAGACCUUCAUUAUCAAUGUUUGUGUAUCUACACAUCCAAAGUAGAUCAUCAUCUUUGGUCUUUGGGAGAUACACCAGAGAAAAACAACUCCUCUGGCCUGGGAGAUUUUGACUUUCUGCUUUUCAUGUGUGUUUGCUUUUAUCGAAGAGGGAAUCUGCUACUUGCCUGAUGCAACUGCAUUUGGAUACUGAACUGGGGCCCAAAGAGUCUCAAAUCACUGCCUGGGAAUGCCAAUUUCUCAUCAUGAAUUAGAAAUCAAUUCUAGCAGCCUCCCUGCUAAGUAAAAAAAUUACAUAAUUCUUUCUGCACUACUGCAUUAGGCUGAUUUUUUUUUUCCUUUUCCUGAAUGUACAGUAAAUCUCUAGUGGUUUAAGCCAUGGUGCCUCUGCUUAAACACAAUAUGAAAUCGCUACCAAAUUUAAAUAAAAAAUAAAUUCUG
Molecule: long non-coding RNA, 1129 nt
Filed under: Homo sapiens (human)
Lineage: Eukaryota; Metazoa; Chordata; Mammalia; Primates; Hominidae
Description: long intergenic non-protein coding RNA 3122
Source: RNAcentral